This 763-nucleotide ribosomal RNA is filed under the name Polycauliona candelaria. Its description in RNAcentral is "LSU rRNA". It matches the Rfam family "Eukaryotic large subunit ribosomal RNA", at positions 165 to 944 of the family's 3401-position model. Lineage: Eukaryota; Fungi; Ascomycota; Lecanoromycetes; Teloschistales; Teloschistaceae. The record is from RNAcentral.
CGGGCGAGGCGCCGGUCUAAGUCCCUUGGAACGGGGCGUCAGAGAGGGUGAGAAUCCCGUACGCGACCGGUGGCCGAGCCUAUGUGAAACCCNUUCGACGAGUCGAGUUGUUUGGGAAUGCAGCUCAAAACGGGUGGUAAAUUUCAUCUAAAGCUAAAUACCGGCCAGAGACCGAUAGCGCACAAGUAGAGUGAUCGAAAGAUGAAAAGCACUUUGGAAAGAGAGUCAAAAAGUACGUGAAAUUGUUGAAAGGGAAGCGCUUGCAACCAGACCUGCCCGCGGGUGAUCAGCCGUCCUUCUGGGCGGUGCACUCGCCCGCGAUCAGGCCAGCAUCGGUUCGGGCGGUCGGAUAAAGGCCUCGGGAACGUGGCUCCCCUCGGGGAGUGUUAUAGCCCUUGGUGCAAUGCGGCCCGCCCGGACCGAGGACCGCGCUUCGGCUAGGAUGCUGGCGUAAUGGUUGUAAGCGGCCCGUCUUGAAACACGGACCAAGGAGUCGACCAACUAUGCGAGUGUUUGGGUGUCAAACCCACACGCGCAAUGAAAGUGAACGGAGGUGGGAACCCCUCGCGGGGCGCACCAUCGACCGAUCCAGAUGUCUUCGGAUGGAUUUGAGUACGAGCAUAGCUGGUCGGACCCGAAAGAUGAUGAACUAUGCCUGAAUAGGGUGAAGCCAGAGGAAACUCUGGUGGAGGCUCGCAGCGGUUCUGACGUGCAAAUCGAUCGUCAAAUUUGGGCAUAGGGGCGAAAGACUAAUCGAAUCAUC